RNAcentral lists this ribosomal RNA (1341 nucleotides) under uncultured bacterium. Its description in RNAcentral is "bacterial SSU rRNA". It matches the Rfam family "Bacterial small subunit ribosomal RNA", at positions 28 to 1381 of the family's 1533-position model. The record is from RNAcentral.
GAUAAACGCUGGCGGUGUACAUAAGACAUGCAAGUCGAACGGGAGAAACUAAGAUGGAUUUAUUCAACUUAGCAGACACCGUGGCGGAUGGGUGAGUAACACGUAAGCAACCUGCCUAAAAGAGGGGAAUAACAGAGAGAAAUUUCUGAUAAUACCGCAUAUACCAAAGUAUCGCAUGGUACGAUUGGGAAAGAUUUAUCACUUUUAGAUGGGCUUGCGUCUGAUUAGCUAGUUGGUGAGAUAACAGCUCACCAAGGCGACGAUCAGUAGCCGGAUUGAGAGGUUGAACGGCCACAUUGGGACUGAGACACGGCCCAGACUCCUACGGGAGGCAGCAGUCGGGAAUAUUGCACAAUGGAGGAAACUCUGAUGCAGUGACACCGCGUAUAGGAAGAAGGCCUUAGGGUUGUAAGCUAUUGUCGUGUGAGAAGAAAAUGACUAUCACAGGAGGAAGCCCUGGCUAAAUAUGUGCCAGCAGCCGCGGUAAUACAUAUGGGGCGAGCGUUAUCCGGAUUUAUUGGGUGUAAAGGGUUCGUAGGCGGGAAAGUAAGUCAGUAUGUGAAAUCCCUCGGCUCAACCGAGGAACUGCAAUUGAAACUAUUUUUCUUGAGUACUGGAGGGGAAAGUGGAAUUCUUAGUGUAGCGGUGAAAUGCGUAGAUAUUAGGAAGAACACCAGUGGCGAAGGCGACUUUCUGGACAGUAACUGACGCUGAGGAACGAAAGUGUGGGGAGCAAACAGGAUUAGAUACCCUGGUAGUCCACACUGUAAACGAUGGAUACUAGGGGUUGGCAUAGGAAAUGUCGGUCCCGCAGUUAACGCAUUAAGUAUCCCACCUGGGGAGUACGACCGCAAGGUUAAAACUCAAAGGAAUUGACGGGGGCCCGCACAAGCAGUGGGGUAUGUGGUUUAAUUCGACGCAACGCGAAGAACCUUACCAGGGCUUGACAUGAUUAGGAAUAUAUAAGAGAUUAUAUAGCUCUACGGAGUCUAAUUACAGGUGGUGCAUGGUUGUCGUCAGCUCGUGUCGUGAGAUGUUGGGUUAAGUCCCUAAACGAGCGCAACCCUUAUCGCUAGUUGCUAACAUUAAGUUGAGGACUCUAGUGAGACUGCCGUUUAUUAAAACGGAGGAAGGAGAGGAUGACGUCAAAUCAUCAUGCCCUUUAUGUCCUGGGCUACACACGUACUACAAUGGGUAGGACAAAGGGAAGCAACGGAGUGAUCCUGAGCAAAACCCAAAACCUAUUCACAGUUCGGAUUGAAGGCUGAAAUUCGCCUUCAUGAAGCCGGAAUUGCUAGUAAUGGCAGGUCAGCAUACUGCCGUGAAUACGUUCCCGGGCCU